Molecule: ribosomal RNA, 588 nt
Filed under: uncultured bacterium
Lineage: Bacteria
Description: partial 16S ribosomal RNA
Rfam family: Bacterial small subunit ribosomal RNA
Source: RNAcentral
UGGGGAAUUUUGGACAAUGGGCGAAAGCCUGAUCCAGCAAUGCCGCGUGUGUGAAGAAGGCCUUCGGGUUGUAAAGCACUUUUGUCCGGAAAGAAAAUCCUUGGCUCUAAUACAGUCGGGGGAUGACGGUACCGGAAGAAUAAGCACCGGCUAACUACGUGCCAGCAGCCGCGGUAAUACGUAGGGUGCAAGCGUUAAUCGGAAUUACUGGGCGUAAAGCGUGCGCAGGCGGUUUGCUAAGACCGAUGUGAAAUCCCCGGGCUCAACCUGGGAACUGCAUUGGUGACUGGCAGGCUAGAGUAUGGCAGAGGGGGGUAGAAUUCCACGUGUAGGCAGUGAAAUGCGUAGAGAUGUGGAGGAAUACCGAUGGCGAAGGCAGCCCCCUGGGCCAAUACUGACGCUCAUGCACGAAAGCGUGGGGAGCAAACAGGAUUAGAUACCCUGGUAGUCCACGCCCUAAAACGAUGUCAACUAGUUGUUGGGGAUUCAUUUCCUUAGUAACGUAGCUAACGCGUGAAGUUGACCGCCUGGGGAGUACGGUCGCAAGAUUAAAACUUAAAGGAAUUGACGGGGUCAUAGCUGUUUCCU